CUCUUUCUCUUGAAUUCUUUCUUUUGAGUUUUCUGCAUUCAUUCUUGCAGUGUCCUAUCUUGCCACAAUGGUAGCACUUGAUGUUCUUCCUUCUUUGUGAUCUUCUUCUAUUCUUGUUACAGUGCUGAGGAGCUUUGCUGUUACUCCUCCCUCGCCUCUCUAUAACAAGUGCCUUAGAUUGGUUAGAGAUUCCUUGCUUUCUGUACCUUGUUUUUUUAUUAUACAUACUGUCCUUCACCAUAUUCAAUGUCAAAACACCUUUAGGGGCAGAAGUGCUAAGUGAUACAACAAGUGUCUCUCAGCUGUCAGAUAAAGAACUUAAUAGAAACAAUGCAUGUACUUUAUCAUCAAAGGCUAUUUUAAUACUAGUCAAUUGAUUCA
Molecule: long non-coding RNA, 381 nt
Filed under: Elaeis guineensis (African oil palm)
Lineage: Eukaryota; Viridiplantae; Streptophyta; Magnoliopsida; Arecales; Arecaceae
Description: long non-coding RNA (EGUI_LNC005113)
Source: RNAcentral